UUCAGCCGCCCCCUUCCCCAAUUUUUUCUCUGUCUCUUUCUACCCUUCUCGCUUCAGUUCAGCCGCUCCUUCACUCAAUUCUCUCUCUCUCUCAAUAAGCUCCAAAACACUAAAAAAAAGUCGGAAAAUUUUAAAGUAAUAAGAUAUUUCAGUGCUUUUUGGGGCGUUUACGUCAAGCUGUGAAAAUCUUAUACAUUUGUACAUUACAGAACCCCAAACCAACGAACAUUGGUCGGUCUUUCCUUCCAUUCCUCACAUCCCAUUUUCCCACAAACUUUCUCUGCAGUUUCUUGCCUCUUGAGAUUUUUUUCUUUUUUUCCCGGAAAGUUUCAAGCUUCAGAAGAAUUUUCAUUUUCCCAGAUAAGUUUCCUCUCCAUAUUCUCUGAUUCUUUCUGAACAGAUUCAUAAGAACAUCAAGAAUUUCUGUUUUGGAAAAAAGGGGUAUCUGUUAGCUGUGUUGAAGUAGUAGCUGCUUUAUUUGAAUUGGGGUUUGUUAAUUCUUGGAUAAGUAGUAGCAAAUCCUGAUUUGGAGUGGAAUGCUGGUUUUGUUUGUGUUUUGAGAUUAUGGUGUGGUUUCGGUCGGUUUUGUUUGUGUUUUGAGCUUAUGGUGUGGUUUUGUUUGUGUUUUUCUUUUCCUUACCUUUUCGUUUCUCUUCUCUUCCCUUCCCCUUCCACUGAACCAAACAUAGUCUAAGGUAACCGUUUCUAUAUAUUAAAGCCUUACAUUAUUAUUGAGAGCUUCAGUAAGGGGUAGAGAGAGUCCGAACAGGAGAGAAAAAUCUGAGUACCUGCACCACCGUCAGACCAGUUUUUCUCCGAAAACUUUACCGAAUUUCAGUUUCAGGGUCAUCAAAGCUGUUGGCUAAUAUUCUGUACUCAUGGGUCUAUCUGUUGGGAACUUAAUUGCUAGAUGGGAUGGGAUGAAAUUUGAGAAGUGCCAUUGAUCUAUAGAGGCACUACAAGAAGGGUGAUUCAAAUCCAAAACUUUGCCCAUGUAUUUCCAGAUCGGGACGGUGAUAGAGUCAGCAUCAAACUUUUUCACAGGUAGACUAACAAAGGAGAGAAAGGGAACAAUUGCAUUUGAGGUUAUCUGAUCUCUCCCUUGCUGACUACAGAAACUUCCAUCUUCACUCACCCCCUCAUAAUCAAAAUUUGGAGUCCUCUAUUGUGCAGCUUAACAUUUCCAUUGCUACAGUGAAUGAUCUGAUAAACUGUGAUACUCUUACCAAGUGAUAUGAGAAACAGAAUCCACUAAGCUGAUUUAUAAUUUAUAGCUAUAUUCACAUGUGCUGUUUCUCUUUGAUGUUUGCUCCUUCCCAUAGUAUUCAUUAUAGAAUUGAUUGUGAUUGUUGUGAUGAUAAACGCAUGCUCCAGGAAAUAAUAGUUAUUGAAUGAGUAACGUAAUCAAAAUAAUAGUUAUAGCUUAGAGAAGACAACUCACGACAACUCGUAGCUUACCAAAAAAAAAAAAAAAAAAAAAAAAAAUCUAAUAUUACUAAUUGUUGUUGAAUAUUAAUAAUUCAGUCUUAAAAAAAAAAAAGUCUUCAAAUUGCACUGAUGUUACUAAUUAUUGUUAAAAAUUACUAAUUAUUGUUGAAUAUUAGUAACGUAUCUAAUAUCAAUUACUAAUAUUAGUAACUAAUGAUACUAAUUGCUGUUGAAUAUUACUAAUUGUAGUUGAAUAUUAGUAACAUAUCUAACAUUAAACAUUAGUUAUUGAUAAUAGUAACUGAUGAUAUUAAUUGUCAGAGUAUGAUGGUCAUAGUACACAACCCACGUGGGUGGGUGGCUCAGCAGGUCAGAAAAUGUAAACAAGACAAGACAACACAUAUAGCAUUAACACGAAUGAAUUGAUGAGGUUUACUAUGCAUAUAUUCAUCAUGUAGGAUCCUUUUGGGGUUUUAUUUAUUUAUUUAUUUAUUUAUGGGACUUAUGGGUUAUUUUGAAUUAGGGUUUAAUUAUUCCAAACCCAUGCAGCCCUAAGCCUAGUUUAAGCCUAGUAACUACUAAAUUAUCAACAACGAAAAAUUCCAAACAUGCGCAAAGUAUCAUUAGAAUAAUUUCCUACAUAGAAUUCAAAUAAGUCUAUUGUCAAAUCAUUUUCAUAUUAUGAAUAAUUUACUUGCUUCUGAUCCUCACCUUUUCCAUCAACCUGUAAUGAAAUCCAACUCAUAGCCAAUGAUCAAUCAAGCUUAUUCCUGUCAUUCAAGCAAAGCACCUUCCUAUUUUAGAAAGCAUGAAAAAAAUAUGAAACAUUCUGUUUUAAGAAAGAAUAUUUAAAAGAGAGAGAAUUAACAAAUGAUUCUCAUCGCUUUUUUCAUUACCUAUACAUGAAUACAUGCACAUCAUCAAUUCAUUCAUGUGAUAACAGUAUGAAAAUGAAAUUCAUGCAAAUUUAAUAAUUAUCAUUCAUGUAUAGAUUGAGAGGUCUUCCACGAAAUUUUCACAAUUUCAGUUUUCCACAAAUAAUCACGAGUCUUAGUCUUAGUCUUAGUCAAAAAAAGAAAAAGUUAAUCUUUAAAUUGCACUAAUGUUGCUAAUUGUUGUUAAAGGUUCGUUUAGAUAUCGCUUAUUUUGCUCAAAAUUGAAAACACUGUAGCAAAAUAAUUUUUAAAUGUGUGAAUAGUGCUGUGAGACCCAUUUUUAAUGAAAGUUUUGUUAAAAAAAGAGGUUUGUAAGUCCCGUAAACAGUGCUCGGGGCCCACCAGUUAUUCAGAAACAUGCUUCAAAAGGAAAAAAAAAGGCAGACGCAGGAAACGCAUACUAAAUUUUACUAAUUGGUUGAAUAUUAGUAAUUAAUGUUACUAAUUGUCAGAGUUAUUGGCUGGGUGGCUUAGUAAUCACAAGUCGGUCUCAGUCAAAAGUAAAAAAAAAUUUAAGAGACUUUUGUCAAUUCUCUCUCUUUUAAUUAUUCUUUCUUAAAACAGAAUGUUUCAUUUUGUCAUGCUUUUGUAAAAUAGGAAGGAGCUCAUAAGCUUUUUUUUUUUUUUUUUUUUUUUUAAAAUGUGAUGUAUCGAUUGAUUAUUGCUAAUUUGACGAUUUUAUUUGAAAUAUGUGUAGCCCCCACAAUACAUCACAUCAUAGAGUUAAGAGUGUGAGAGAGAGGGCGUGUUGUCUCCCACUACAACUUUAUAACUACUGAAUGAGUCUAAAUCUCAUAUAGUCCAUGUUACUAUGUGGAAUAAUUGAAGGCACCUGUGCCUAAACCCUAAUUCUUGUACUACGUUUUUUAUUUGAUAGGAAACA
This is a long non-coding RNA of Quercus robur (English oak), 3246 nucleotides long. RefSeq lists it as uncharacterized. The transcript has 5 exons. Lineage: Eukaryota; Viridiplantae; Streptophyta; Magnoliopsida; Fagales; Fagaceae. The record is from RefSeq and is a predicted model, not a curated record.